Cotesia glomerata is the source of this 128-nucleotide long non-coding RNA. RefSeq lists it as uncharacterized. The transcript is spliced from 3 exons. Lineage: Eukaryota; Metazoa; Arthropoda; Insecta; Hymenoptera; Braconidae. The record is from RefSeq and is a predicted model, not a curated record.
UUUAUUUCACUUAUGUAAACCCUAGCGGAUCCGUAUACACUGUGUAUACUAGGUGUAAAUUCGGUGUAAACUUGGUGUGGUGUAUACUGGGGGGAUACAGUAGGUAUAUUUGGUAUUUUUCGGAUAAA